UGAGCAGACGAGCCUCUCGGGCUGUACUUGAAGCAAUGCUGUGCUAAUUCCUCGGUCUUUCAUGCUUUCAGGAGGAAGGGGAGGUAGUCCUUUAAAACAAAUCUCCAGCCUGAUGGCAGAGUCACGUACAGGAAAAGAUGGGGAAACCACUGACAUCAUUCCCAGCAGCUACUUCUGCUUUUUCCAGGUUCUGCCCUCCCCUGGUGAAAUCACCCCUGCUUAAAACACGUCUUUGCUACAUUCUCUAUGCCAGCAACUCCCAAAACAGUUUCCUCAAAUUGAUGGAAUAAAUAA
This is a long non-coding RNA of Eubalaena glacialis (North Atlantic right whale), 294 nucleotides long. RefSeq lists it as uncharacterized. The record is from RefSeq and is a predicted model, not a curated record. The transcript has 3 exons. NCBI's taxonomy places the organism in Eukaryota, Metazoa, Chordata, Mammalia, Artiodactyla, Balaenidae.